GGGGGAAAGGCUCAGUGGUAGAGCAUCUGCUUCAUCUGCAGAAGUUACCAGGUUUUAUCCCUGUCAUCUCCA
This 72-nucleotide transfer RNA is filed under the name Sphaerodactylus townsendi. RNAcentral's name for it is "tRNA-Met". It matches the Rfam family "tRNA". From Rfam's summary of the family: Transfer RNA (tRNA) molecules are approximately 80 nucleotides in length. Their secondary structure includes four short double-helical elements and three loops (D, anti-codon, and T loops). Further hydrogen bonds mediate the characteristic L-shaped molecular structure. tRNAs have two regions of fundamental functional importance: the anti-codon, which is responsible for specific mRNA codon recognition, and the 3' end, to which the tRNAs corresponding amino acid is attached (by aminoacyl-tRNA synthetases). tRNAs cope with the degeneracy of the genetic code in two manners: having more than one tRNA (with a specific anti-codon) for a particular amino acid; and 'wobble' base-pairing, i.e. permitting non-standard base-pairing at the 3rd anti-codon position. The record is from RNAcentral. Lineage: Eukaryota; Metazoa; Chordata; Lepidosauria; Squamata; Sphaerodactylidae.